CUAUCUGUCUCUCCUGGUCUCUCUUAGAUUUGGUCUGGCCUUGUCCCAAGGUAAUUGAAAUGUCCAUGAACUGUGCUGCUGAAGUGGUGGAGGAAACUGUGAGUCCGAAAAGCCUUCUAAUGCAGACACUGGUGUCAGAGUCAAUGUGAUCAUGUCGGACGCUACAGAGUCCCUUUCCUCAUUGUUCCGUUGCCCUGUAUUAUCUAAAUUAAAUUAAAGAAAAAACCCACAAAAGUACAGCCCUUCCACAGACAACUAAGGAAGCGUGGUGAAAGCAAGGGUGGUGUGUGGAGGGUAACACAUGAUGUGGACGAUUACCUCUGUGCUCAACACCUUGACUUUGUGUGCCAACACCUUGACAGAAGGUGGGGCCAGGGAUCGUCAUUUGGGAGUACCUGGAGGAACAUCUGACCCCACUCCAAAAAAGGACCACAUAAGUAAAAAAUGGCUCAUCUUACCCCACUCUUCCAUACUAAAUGACUGCGAAAAACUACCACACACCACCUCAAGCAACAGCUCUCGGUAACAUACUCAUCAUGAAGAUGAACGCCCACAAGAGUAUGUGUCGUGAAGAUAAAAGUCCUUGGAGUAGGCUACGUUAAAUUUGUAGGUCUCUUCAAAACACAUGUAAUAAUCCCCUAAUUUGUUUUAUACAAAUGUUAUUUGCAAGGUACACAUAGGUUUGUGUAAAUAAAUAUCUGUAAGAACAUUGGAGCGAGUGCUCAUUUCUCAUUUGGUAGCCUGAAU
Molecule: non-coding RNA, 747 nt
Organism: Pimephales promelas (fathead minnow)
Lineage: Eukaryota; Metazoa; Chordata; Actinopteri; Cypriniformes; Leuciscidae
Source: RefSeq, a predicted model, not a curated record